Molecule: transfer RNA, 77 nt
Filed under: Patescibacteria group bacterium
Lineage: Bacteria
Also listed under: 1 other name
Description: tRNA-Val
Rfam family: tRNA
About the family: Transfer RNA (tRNA) molecules are approximately 80 nucleotides in length. Their secondary structure includes four short double-helical elements and three loops (D, anti-codon, and T loops). Further hydrogen bonds mediate the characteristic L-shaped molecular structure. tRNAs have two regions of fundamental functional importance: the anti-codon, which is responsible for specific mRNA codon recognition, and the 3' end, to which the tRNAs corresponding amino acid is attached (by aminoacyl-tRNA synthetases). tRNAs cope with the degeneracy of the genetic code in two manners: having more than one tRNA (with a specific anti-codon) for a particular amino acid; and 'wobble' base-pairing, i.e. permitting non-standard base-pairing at the 3rd anti-codon position.
Source: RNAcentral
GGGCGAUUAGCUCAGUUGGUUAGAGCGCUUCGUUUACACCGAAGAGGUCAAAGGUUCGAAUCCUUUAUCGCCCACCA